UACGGGGGGGGCAAGCGUUGUUCGGAAUUACUGGGCGUAAAGGGCUCGUAGGCGGCCAACUAAGUCAGACGUGAAAUCCCUCGGCUUAACCGGGGAACUGCGUCUGAUACUGGAUGGCUUGAAUCCGGGAGAGGGAUGCGGAAUUCCAGGUGUAGCGGUGAAAUGCGUAGAUAUCUGGAGGAACACCGGUGGCGAAGGCGGCAUCCUGGACCGGCAUUGACGCUGAGGAGCGAAAGCGUGGGUAGCGAACAGG
Molecule: ribosomal RNA, 253 nt
Filed under: uncultured bacterium
Lineage: Bacteria
Description: partial 16S ribosomal RNA
Rfam family: Bacterial small subunit ribosomal RNA
Source: RNAcentral